Carassius gibelio (silver crucian carp) is the source of this 361-nucleotide long non-coding RNA. RefSeq lists it as uncharacterized. The transcript is spliced from 2 exons. The record is from RefSeq and is a predicted model, not a curated record. NCBI's taxonomy places the organism in Eukaryota, Metazoa, Chordata, Actinopteri, Cypriniformes, Cyprinidae.
GGAACAAUGAUUGCUCUCGCAAGUUUCCUGUCACUAUUUUAAUCAUAUGUUUAGCAUAUGUUUAGCACCAAGCCUAUAUGAACGGUUCUCUCAGUUUUUAUCAAGUGUUGAAUUCUACUUAUACUUCAUAUGGACCCCAAUUCUGGCAGGCCUGAUUUUCCGGUUCCUCCAUGGGAGCAUGGCAUGAAAUUGGGAGCAAGAUUCCAUUAAAAUCACAGUAUUCAGUUCUCUCGCCCACAACAUUCCCAUUUAAGGAGGCUUGCUCUGUCAUUGCCUUCAUAUCCAAUAUGUUGAGCCCAUGAAAACAGAUUGAAAAAGCAUGUUUGGCGAUGAUUUGUAAUAAACCAUAAACUGACCUUUA